RNAcentral lists this ribosomal RNA (253 nucleotides) under uncultured bacterium. RNAcentral's name for it is "partial 16S ribosomal RNA". It matches the Rfam family "Bacterial small subunit ribosomal RNA", at positions 524 to 776 of the family's 1533-position model. The record is from RNAcentral.
UACGAAGGGGGCUAGCGUUGUUCGGAAUCACUGGGCGUAAAGCGCACGUAGGCGGCUUGUUAAGUCAGAGGUGAAAGCCUGGAGCUCAACUCCAGAACUGCCUUUGAUACUGGCAAGCUCGAGUAUGGCAGAGGUUGGUGGAACUCCGAGUGUAGAGGUGAAAUUCGUAGAUAUUCGGAAGAACACCAGUGGCGAAGGCGGCCAACUGGGCCAUUACUGACGCUGAGGUGCGAAAGCGUGGGGAGCAAACAGG